AGAGUUUGAUCAUGGCUCAGGAUGAACGCUAGCGGCAGGCCUAAUACAUGCAAGUCGAACGGGGUGUAGCAAUACACCUAGUGGCGCACGGGUGCGUAACGCGUAACCAACCUACCCUUGACUGGGGGAUAGCCCGCCGAAAGGCGGAUUAAUACCGCAUAAACCAGCAGCCCGGCAUCGGGUAAUUGGUAAAGAUUUAUUGGUCAAGGAUGGGGUUGCGUAGCAUUAGCUAGAUGGCGGGGUAAGGGCCCACCAUGGCGACGAUGCUUAGGGGACCUGAGAGGGUGACCCCCCACACUGGCACUGAGAUACGGGCCAGACUCCUACGGGAGGCAGCAGUAGGGAAUAUUGGGCAAUGGGCGAGAGCCUGACCCAGCCAUGCCGCGUGCCGGAUGAAGGCCUUCUGGGUUGUAAACGGCUUUUCUCAGGGAAGAAAAAGACCCUGCGGGGUACACUGACGGUACCUGAGGAAUAAGCACCGGCUAACUCCGUGCCAGCAGCCGCGGUAAUACGGAGGGUGCAAGCGUUGUCCGGAUUUAUUGGGUUUAAAGGGUGCGUAGGUGGCUUGUUAAGUCCGGGGUGAAAGCCCACAGCUCAACUGUGGAACUGCCCUGGAUACUGGCGAGCUUGAGUCCAGACGAGGUUGGCGGAAUGGAUGCUGUAGCGGUGAAAUGCAUAGAUAGCAUCCAGAACCCCGAUUGCGUAGGCAGCUGACUAGGCUGGUACUGACACUGAGGCACGAAAGCGUGGGGAGCGAACAGGAUUAGAUACCCUCGUAGUCC
This 782-nucleotide ribosomal RNA is filed under the name uncultured Hymenobacter sp. RNAcentral's name for it is "bacterial SSU rRNA". It matches the Rfam family "Bacterial small subunit ribosomal RNA", at positions 8 to 796 of the family's 1533-position model. Lineage: Bacteria; Pseudomonadati; Bacteroidota; Cytophagia; Cytophagales; Hymenobacteraceae. The record is from RNAcentral.